This 425-nucleotide ribosomal RNA is filed under the name uncultured cyanobacterium. RNAcentral's name for it is "bacterial SSU rRNA". It matches the Rfam family "Bacterial small subunit ribosomal RNA", at positions 356 to 796 of the family's 1533-position model. The record is from RNAcentral. Lineage: Bacteria; Bacillati; Cyanobacteriota.
GGGGAAUUUUCCGCAAUGGGCGCAAGCCUGACGGAGCAAUACCGCGUGAGGGAGGAAGGCUUUUGGGUUGUAAACCUCUUUUCUCAAGGAAGAAGCACUGACGGUACUUGAGGAAUCAGCAUCGGCUAACUCCGUGCCAGCAGCCGCGGUAAUACGGAGGAUGCAAGCGUUAUCCGGAAUUAUUGGGCGUAAAGCGUCCGCAGGUGGUGCAUCAAGUCUGCUGUCAAAGACCAGGGCUUAACCCCGGGAAGGCAGUGGAAACUGGUGGACUAGAGUACGGUAGGGGUAGAGGGAAUUCCCAGUGUAGCGGUGAAAUGCGUAGAGAUUGGGAAGAACACCAGUGGCGAAGGCGCUCUACUGGACCUGUACUGACACUCAGGGACGAAAGCUAGGGGAGCGAAAGGGAUUAGAUACCCCUGUAGUCA